GAUGAACGCUGGCGGCGUGCCUAAUACAUGCCAGUCGAGCGAACAGACGAGGAGCUUGCUCCUCUGACGUUAGCGGCGGACGGGUGAGUAACACGUGGAUAACCUACCUAUAAGACUGGGAUAACUUCGGGAAACCGGAGCUAAUACCGGAUAAUAUAUUGAACCGCAUGGUUCAAUAGUGAAAGACGGUUUUGCUGUCACUUAUAGAUGGAUCCGCGCCGCAUUAGCUAGUUGGUAAGGUAACGGCUUACCAAGGCAACGAUGCGUAGCCGACCUGAGAGGGUGAUCGGCCACACUGGAACUGAGACACGGUCCAGACUCCUACGGGAGGCAGCAGUAGGGAAUCUUCCGCAAUGGGCGAAAGCCUGACGGAGCAACGCCGCGUGAAUGAUGAAGGUCUUCGGAUCGUAAAACUCUGUUAUUAGGGAAGAACAAAUGUGUAAGUAACUAUGCACGUCUUGACGGUACCUAAUCAGAAAGCCACGGCUAACUACGU
RNAcentral lists this ribosomal RNA (496 nucleotides) under uncultured bacterium. RNAcentral describes it as "partial 16S ribosomal RNA". It matches the Rfam family "Bacterial small subunit ribosomal RNA", at positions 28 to 506 of the family's 1533-position model. The record is from RNAcentral.